CAGUAGCCGCGGGAAUACGGAGGGUGCAAGCGUUAAUCGGAAUUACUGGGCGUAAAGCGCACGCAGGCGGUCUGUCAAGUCGGAUGUGAAAUCCCCGGGCUCAACCUGGGAACUGCAUUCGAAACUGGCAGGCUAGAGUCUUGUAGAGGGGGGUAGAAUUCCAGGUGUAGCGGUGAAAUGCGUAGAGAUCUGGAGGAAUACCGGUGGCGAAGGCGGCCCCCUGGACAAAGACUGACGCUCAGGUGCGAAAGCGUGGGGAGCAAACAGGAUUAGAUACCCGCGUAGUCCCUGUCUCUUAUAA
Molecule: ribosomal RNA, 301 nt
Filed under: uncultured bacterium
Lineage: Bacteria
Description: partial 16S ribosomal RNA
Rfam family: Bacterial small subunit ribosomal RNA
Source: RNAcentral